Molecule: ribosomal RNA, 471 nt
Filed under: uncultured bacterium
Lineage: Bacteria
Description: bacterial SSU rRNA
Rfam family: Bacterial small subunit ribosomal RNA
Source: RNAcentral
UAAGGAAUAUUGCGCAAUGGGCGAAAGCCUGACGACGCAACGCCGCGUGGAGGAUGAAGGUCUUCGGAUCGUAAACUUCUGUUGCCCGGGACGAAUAGCUUAGACCUAAUACGUCUGAGUAUGACGGUACCGGGUGAGGAAGCCCCGGCUAACUCUGUGCCAGCAGCCGCGGUAAUACAGAGGGGGCAAGCGUUGUUCGGAAUUACUGGGCGUAAAGGGCGCGUAGGCGGCCUGCUAAGUCGAACGUGAAAUCCCCGGGCUCAACCCGGGAACUGCGUCCGAUACUGGCAGGCUUGAAUUCGGGAGAGGGAUGCGGAAUUCCAGGUGUAGCGGUGAAAUGCGUAGAUAUCGGAAGGAACAUCGGUGGCGAAGGCGUCUACCUGGCCUAAUACUGACACUGAGGCACGAAAGCGUGGGGAGCAAACAGGAUUAGAUACCCCGGUAGUCCCUGAGCGGGCUGGCAAGGCGCAU